RNAcentral lists this unclassified non-coding RNA (226 nucleotides) under Hevea brasiliensis (rubber tree). Lineage: Eukaryota; Viridiplantae; Streptophyta; Magnoliopsida; Malpighiales; Euphorbiaceae. The record is from RNAcentral.
CACCGCUGUCGCCGAUCAGCAGCAGCUUUAUGAGGUAAUCGUAGUCGGCCCGCGCCCUAGCAGGUGGAGCAGCCAUGGGUGACGGCGAGGCGGCGACGAUCCGUGAUCGGUGCGAUCGAGAUCAAAUGAGUCCCAUCCGCCGAUCCGCUCCCUAAGGGCAACAGCAGAAUCUGGGGAGGGCGGAGGGGGAGACCGUUGAAGAGUUGGGCGGAGGAGGCUUGUUUUG